Molecule: ribosomal RNA, 468 nt
Filed under: uncultured bacterium
Lineage: Bacteria
Description: partial 16S ribosomal RNA
Rfam family: Bacterial small subunit ribosomal RNA
Source: RNAcentral
GACGAACGCUGGCGGCGUGCUUAACACAUGCAAGUCGAACGGAAAGGCCCUGCUUUUGUGGGGUGCUCGAGUGGCGAACGGGUGAGUAACACGUGAGUAACCUGCCCUUGACUUUGGGAUAACUUCAGGAAACUGGGGCUAAUACCGGAUAGGAGCUCCUGCUGCAUGGUGGGGGUUGGAUAGUUUCGGCGGUUGGGGAUGGACUCGCGGCUUAUCAGCUUGUUGGUGGGGUAGUGGCUUACCAAGGCUUUGACGGGUAGCCGGCCUGGGAGGGUGACCGGCCAAAUUGGGACUGAGAUACGGCCCAGACUCCUACGGGAGGCAGCAGUGGGGAAUAUUGCACAAUGGGCGGAAGCCUGAUGCAGCAACGCCGCGUGCGGGAUGACGGCCUGCGGGUUGGAAACCGCUUUCGCCUGUGACGAAGCGUGAGUGACGGUAAUGGGUAAAGAAGCACCGGCUAACUACGUG